CCUACGGGAGGCUGCAGUAGGGAAUCUUGCUCAAUGGGGGAAACCCUGAAGCAGCAACGCCGCGUGGAGGAUGAAGGUCUUCGGAUCGUAAACUUCUUUUGUUAGAGAAGAUAAUGACGGUAUCUAACGAAUAAGCACCGGCUAACUCCGUGCCAGCAGCCGCGGUAAUACUGAGGGUGCAAGCGUUACUCGGAAUCACUGGGCGUAAAGAGCGCGUAGGCGGGAUAGCAAGUCAGAUGUGAAAUCCUAUGGCUUAACCAUAGAACGGCAUUUGAAACUGUUAUUCUAGAGUAUGGGAGAGGUAAGUGGAAUUCUUGGUGUAGCGGUAAAAUCCGUAGAGAUAAAGAGGAAUACUCAUUGCGAAGGCGACCUGCUAGAACAUAACUGACGCUGAUGCGCGAAAGCGUGGGGAGCAAACAGGAUUAGAUACCCCAGUAGUC
This 440-nucleotide ribosomal RNA is filed under the name uncultured bacterium. Its description in RNAcentral is "partial 16S ribosomal RNA". It matches the Rfam family "Bacterial small subunit ribosomal RNA", at positions 338 to 795 of the family's 1533-position model. The record is from RNAcentral.